RNAcentral lists this ribosomal RNA (43 nucleotides) under uncultured Dinobryon. RNAcentral describes it as "partial Eukaryotic small subunit ribosomal RNA". Lineage: Eukaryota; Chrysophyceae; Chromulinales. The record is from RNAcentral.
AAAAGGAGAAGUCGUAACAAGGUUUCCGUAGGUGAACCUGCGG